GAUGAACGCUGGCGGCAUGCCUAAUACAUGCAAGUCGAACGAACUAUACCAAGCGUAAUGAUGCUUGCAUCAUCACAAUUGGAAUCUAUAGUUAGUGGCGAACGGGUGAGUAACACGUGGGUAACCUGCCCUAAAGUUGAGGAUAACUAUUGGAAACGAUAGCUAAUACUGAAUAAGAUAACAAAUCGCAUGAUAUGUUAUUGAAAGAAGCGUAUGCUUCGCUAUAGGAUGGACCUGCGGUGCAUUAGCUAGUUGGUGUGGUAGAGGCACACCAAGGCAACGAUGCAUAGCCGGGCUGAGAGGCUGAACGGCCACAUUGGGACUGAGACACGGCCCAAACUUCUACGGAAGGCUGCAGUAGGGAAUUUUUCGCAAUGGACGCAAGUCUGACGAAGCAAUGCCGCGUGAGGGAAGACGGUUUUCGGAUUGUAAACCUCUGUUAUAAGGGAAGAACAGCAUUUAUAGGAAAUGAUGAAUGUGUGACGGUACCUUAUCAGAAAGGGACGGCUAACUACGUGCCAGCCGCCGCGGUAAAAC
RNAcentral lists this ribosomal RNA (537 nucleotides) under uncultured bacterium. RNAcentral describes it as "bacterial SSU rRNA". It matches the Rfam family "Bacterial small subunit ribosomal RNA", at positions 28 to 526 of the family's 1533-position model. The record is from RNAcentral.